Molecule: ribosomal RNA, 253 nt
Filed under: uncultured bacterium
Lineage: Bacteria
Description: partial 16S ribosomal RNA
Rfam family: Bacterial small subunit ribosomal RNA
Source: RNAcentral
UACGUAGGGGGCAAGCGUUGUCCGGAAUCAUUGGGCGUAAAGCGCGUGUAGGCGGUUCGGUAAGUCUGCUGUGAAAGUCCAGGGCUCAACCCUGGGAUGCCGGUGGAUACUGUCGGGCUAGAGUACGGAAGAGGCGAGUGGAAUUCCCGGUGUAGCGGUAAUAUGCGUAGAUAUCGGGAGGAACACCAGUGGCGUAGGCGGCUGUCUGGGGUCUUGCUGACGCUGAGGCACGAAAGCCAGGGGAGCGAACGGG